UGCAGGUGGGGGGGGGGGGUUGUCAGAGCUCUUGGAAGACCUGCAUUUAUUUCUAGGUUUUUCUUUUUUUCAGCUGACUUUUCUUCCCUCCCCUCCCCCUAGAAGUCAGGGUUCUAGGAUGAGGCAAAGUAGAUGUGAAUUCUGAGCAGGGAGCUCAUGGACCUGGUUGUGAUGACGUGUUUUGGAAUCCUCAGUGAACAGGAUAAAGAAUAAGUUGGGAGGAAAUUCCGAGUGUUUGGGACAAAUUCCUUGCUUUAAGCUCAUACCUGCCUAGAGAAGGUCUGGAACCUUCCAGGUGUCUGUUGCGGGGGGAGGCUCUGAAGAGCAAAGCUGGAACCGCUUCUGUUGAUCGCUCUUCCUUUCAUCCCAGAUUUGAUUCUCCAUGAUGGACUUGCGGGGUUGCCCUGUCCCAGCCCAAGAGUCCCAGAUUCUGGUAUCACCGGUUGCUGCCCCUUCAAAUCAGCUGCUUACAACUCCAGAUAUCAAUGUUCAGCCUUUCAUGGGGUUGUCUUGCUGUGCGGUUCCCACGAGGACUUCCUGGGCAGAGCUUUGCUUAUCAUGAUAUAUUCUGGUAACUUUCUACAGGGUCCAUAUGGAACCCAAGGGAAACCUGAAAACCAGGCAUUUCCCACACAGCCAUGUCUCCUGCUUCUACUCUCUGGGUCACUGGCCCUUCACCGCCUCUCUGGUGGCUUUCUCAAGGCUUGGAGCCAGUCCCAGUCCGGCCUUUAGACAGAAGAUCGAGCUCUCUGAGCUGUCAUUCUGAAGCCCCCCACA
Mustela lutreola (European mink) is the source of this 777-nucleotide long non-coding RNA. RefSeq lists it as uncharacterized. NCBI's taxonomy places the organism in Eukaryota, Metazoa, Chordata, Mammalia, Carnivora, Mustelidae. The record is from RefSeq and is a predicted model, not a curated record. The transcript has 4 exons.